Molecule: ribosomal RNA, 443 nt
Filed under: uncultured bacterium
Lineage: Bacteria
Description: partial 16S ribosomal RNA
Rfam family: Bacterial small subunit ribosomal RNA
Source: RNAcentral
CCUACGGGGGGCAGCAGUGGGGAAUAUUGGGCAAUGGGCGCAAGCCUUACCCAGCAAUACCGCGUGAGUGAAGAAGGUCUUCGGAUUGUAAAGCUCUUUGAUCAGGGACGAACAGAUGACGGUACCUGAAGAACAAGCCCCGGCUAACUACGUGCCAGCAGCCGCGGUAAAACGUAGGGGGCGAGCGUUGUCCGGAAUGACUGGGUGUAAAGGGUGCGUAGGCGGCAUAUGAAGUUAGAAGGGAAAUACCCAGAGCUUAACCUGGGUGCUGCUUCUAAGACUGUUGGGCUUGAGUGCGGGAGAGGUUAGUGGAAUUCCUGGUGUAGCGGUGAAAUGCGUAGAUAUUAGGCGGAACACCAGUGGCGAAGGCGAUUACCUGGACCGUGACUGACGCUGAGGCACGAAAGUGUGGGUAGCAAACAGGAUUAGAUACCCUGGUAGUC